GAUGAAGAACGUAGCGAAAUGCGAUACGUAGUGUGAAUUGCAGAAUUCAGUGAAUCAUCGAAUCUUUGAACGCACAUUGCGCCCCCUGGUAUUCCGGGGGGCAUGCCUGUUCGAGCGUCAUUACAACCCUCAAGCUCUGCUUGGUAUUGGGCCCCGCCAGUUCUGGCGGGCCCUAAAGUCAGUGGCGGUGCCUUCCGGCUCCGAGCGUAGUAAUUCUUCUCGCUCUGGAGACCCGGUUGUGUGCUUGCCAACAACCCCCAAUUUUUUAAGGUUGACCUCGGAUCAGGUAGGGAUACCCGCUGAACUUAAGCAUAUCAAUAAGCGGAGGA
This 329-nucleotide unclassified non-coding RNA is filed under the name soil metagenome. RNAcentral describes it as "partial contains 5.8S ribosomal RNA, internal transcribed spacer 2, and large subunit ribosomal RNA". The stretch from base 1 to 120 matches the Rfam family "5.8S ribosomal RNA", at positions 35 to 154 of the family's 154-position model. The record is from RNAcentral.